RNAcentral lists this transfer RNA (86 nucleotides) under Aphanochaete confervicola. RNAcentral's name for it is "tRNA-Ser". It matches the Rfam family "tRNA". From Rfam's summary of the family: Transfer RNA (tRNA) molecules are approximately 80 nucleotides in length. Lineage: Eukaryota; Viridiplantae; Chlorophyta; Chlorophyceae; Chaetophorales; Aphanochaetaceae. The record is from RNAcentral.
GGAAAGAUGUCCGAGUGGUUUAAAGUACGGAUCUGGAACGUCCGUGUAGUUAAGAACUACCGAGGGUUCGAAUCCCUCUCUUUCCG